GAUGGACAGGGUAUGGGAGGAGACUGCAUUCUUCUGCUCAUCCCACUCCAAUCCAUCCA
This 59-nucleotide microRNA precursor is filed under the name Ornithorhynchus anatinus (platypus). RNAcentral's name for it is "Oan-Mir-1400_pre stem-loop". The record is from RNAcentral. Lineage: Eukaryota; Metazoa; Chordata; Mammalia; Monotremata; Ornithorhynchidae.